CAGUAGCCGCGGGAAUACAGAGGGUGCAAGCGUUAAUCGGAAUUACUGGGCGUAAAGCGCGCGUAGGUGGUUUGUUAAGUUGGAUGUGAAAGCCCCGGGCUCAACCUGGGAACUGCAUCCAAAACUGGCAAGCUAGAGUACGGUAGAGGGUGGUGGAAUUUCCUGUGUAGCGGUGAAAUGCGUAGAUAUAGGAAGGAACACCAGUGGCGAAGGCGACCACCUGGACUGAUACUGACACUGAGGUGCGAAAGCGUGGGGAGCAAACAGGAUUAGAUAACCGUGUAGUCCCUGUCUCUUAUAA
Molecule: ribosomal RNA, 301 nt
Filed under: uncultured bacterium
Lineage: Bacteria
Description: partial 16S ribosomal RNA
Rfam family: Bacterial small subunit ribosomal RNA
Source: RNAcentral